This 640-nucleotide ribosomal RNA is filed under the name uncultured marine bacterium. RNAcentral's name for it is "bacterial SSU rRNA". It matches the Rfam family "Bacterial small subunit ribosomal RNA", at positions 8 to 631 of the family's 1533-position model. The record is from RNAcentral.
AGAGUUUGAUCCUGGCUCAGGACGAACGCUGGCGGCAUGCCUAAUACAUGCAAGUCGAGCGAAUCGAUGGGAGCUUGCUCCCUGAGAUUAGCGGCGGACGGGUGAGUAACACGUGGGCAACCUGCCUAUAAGACUGGGAUAACUUCGGGAAACCGGAGCUAAUACCGGAUACGUUCUUUUCUCGCAUGAGAGAAGAUGGAAAGACGGUUUACGCUGUCACUUAUAGAUGGGCCCGCGGCGCAUUAGCUAGUUGGUGAGGUAAUGGCUCACCAAGGCGACGAUGCGUAGCCGACCUGAGAGGGUGAUCGGACACACUGGGACUGAGACACGGCCCAGACUCCUACGGGAGGCAGCAGUAGGGAAUCUUCCGCAAUGGACGAAAGUCUGACGGAGCAACGCCGCGUGAACGAAGAAGGCCUUCGGGUCGUAAAGUUCUGUUGUUAGGGAAGAACAAGUACCAGAGUAACUGCUGGUACCUUGACGGUACCUAACCAGAAAGCCACGGCUAACUACGUGCCAGCAGCCGCGGUAAUACGUAGGUGGCAAGCGUUGUCCGGAAUUAUUGGGCGUAAAGCGCGCGCAGGUGGUUCCUUAAGUCUGAUGUGAAAGCCCACGGCUCAACCGUGGAGGGUCAUUGGAA